RNAcentral lists this ribosomal RNA (554 nucleotides) under Microhyla nepenthicola (Nepenthes narrow-mouthed frog). Its description in RNAcentral is "partial 16S ribosomal RNA". It matches the Rfam family "Bacterial large subunit ribosomal RNA", at positions 1898 to 2621 of the family's 2925-position model. The record is from RNAcentral. Lineage: Eukaryota; Metazoa; Chordata; Amphibia; Anura; Microhylidae.
AAGGCAGCCUGCCAGUGACCAAGUUAAACGGCCGCGGUACCCUAACCGUGCAAAGGUAGCGCAAUCACUUGUUCUUUAAAUGAGGACUAGUAUGAACGGCAUCACGAGGGUUAUGCUGUCUCCCCACUCUAUUCAGUGAAACUGAUCUCCCCGUGAAGAAGCGGGGAUAAAAAUAUAAGACGAGAAGACCCCAUGGAGCUUUAAACUCAGUAUCAACUGCUUUACAAAUUAACCUAACAUUUAUGCAACUCUGAUUACUAGUUUUCGGUUGGGGUGACCACGGAGUAUAAAACAACCUCCACGACGAAAGGAAGUAACAACCUAAAUCAAGAGUUACAACUCUAAAUAUCAACAAAUUGACUAAAUUGAUCCAAUAAAUUGAUCAACGAACCAAGUUACCCUGGGGAUAACAGCGCAAUCCAUUUCAAGAGCUCAUAUCGACAAAUGGGUUUACGACCUCGAUGUUGGAUCAGGGUACCCCAGUGGCGCAGCCGCUACUAACGGUUCGUUUGUUCAACGAUUAAAACCCUACGUGAUCUGAGUUCAAGACCGGA